GCUCAGUAACACGUAGACAACCUGACCUACAGUGGGAGAUAAUCUCGGGAAACUGAGGCUAAUAUCCCAUAGGCCUCCGGCACUGGAAUGUCUGGAGACCAAAAGCUCCGGCGCUAUAGGAUGGGUCUGCGGCAGAUUAGCUUGUAGGCGGUGUAAUGGACCACCUAGGCUAUAAUCUGUAAGGGUCGUGGGAGCGAUAGCCCUGAGACGGAAUCUGAGACACUAUUCCGAGCCUUACGGGGUGCAGCAGGCGCGAAAACUUUACACUACACGAAAGUGUGAUAAGGGAAUUCCAAGUGUGCUUAUACCAUAAGCACUUUUUCGGAGCGCAAAAAGCUCCGGGAAUAAGGGGUGGGCAAGACUAGUGCCAGCCGCCGCGGUAAAACUAGCAUCUCGAGUGGCAGUCACAAUUAUUGGGCUUAGAGCGUCCGUAGCUCGUUCGGAAAGUCUCUGGUGAAAUCCUACGGCUUAACCGUAGGGCGCGCCGGAGAAACUACCGAGCUAGAGGGCAGGAGAGGUCGGGGGUACGUCUGGGGUAGGGGUGAAAUCCUAUAAUCCUAGACGGACCAACAGUGGCGAAGGCGCCCGACAUGAAUGCGCCUGACAGUGAGGGACGAGAGCCAAGAGCGCGAAACGGAUUAGAUACCCGUGUAGUCUUGGCCGUAAACGAUGCCGACUAGGUGGGGUGUGACCUUAGUGGGUCAUGCUAUGCCGAAGGGAAACCGUUAAGUUGGCCGCCUGGGGAGUACGCUCGCAAGGGUGAAACUUAAAGGAAUUGGCGGGGGAGCACUACAAGGGGUGGAAGCUGCGGUUUAAUUAGAUUCAACGCUGGACAUCUCACCGGAGGCGACAGCAGGAUGAAGGCCAGACUGAUGGUCUUGCCGAACACGCUGAGAGGAGGUGCAUGGCCGUCGUCAGCUCGUGCCGUAAGGUGUUAGGUUAAGUCCUAAAACGAGCGAGACCC
Molecule: ribosomal RNA, 964 nt
Filed under: uncultured archaeon
Lineage: Archaea
Description: bacterial SSU rRNA
Rfam family: Archaeal small subunit ribosomal RNA
Source: RNAcentral